This 729-nucleotide long non-coding RNA is filed under the name Marmota monax (woodchuck). The record is from RNAcentral. Lineage: Eukaryota; Metazoa; Chordata; Mammalia; Rodentia; Sciuridae.
GAUGGAUACAAUACCUUUAUUUUAUUUUUAUGUUGUGCUGAGGAGCAAACCCAGUGCCUCACAUGUGCUCUACCACUGAACUACAACCCCAGUCUGCUGAGCCCACUUUUAAUGUCUUACAUGGGCCAUACAGCCAAAUCUAAGUUCUCAUGCUAGAGCUCCAGCUUUCAUGAUUUGGCCAUGUUGCUUUCCAGAAGGUGUCAGGAAGACUGGUUAUGCAAGUAAUACUUCCUGUUUACCCACUUUUAAUUAAUGGCUGAGGAUGAUGAAUUGUGACCACAAAGUAUCCUAAUGUCAUUUACUUGAAAUGUUUUACCCUUGUGCCAAACAAUUGGAACAGUCUUGUUUGUACACAACAAGUUAAACCCAGCAAAAUUCUCAUCAGCUACAUCUCUCAACUACUUUCAUAGCUGAAGAUGAUUAUUCUGAAUGUAAAAGGUCAAGAGUCUGAAGUUAUCCAAAGCUGAUUCUUGCCAUAAGAACUGAGUAGUGAGGUUCUUUUCGCCAUCCUUGGGUAAUCUCAUCCAUUCUUAUGGUUUCUUUCCCCUUUUGUGUUGAAAAGUCCCAGAUCUGCUUCUCCACCUAACAUCAUACUCCUGAACUCCAAUGUCUCAUAUUCAGCUGCCUACUAGACAUCUCCAGAUGCAUUAUCAUGAAGACUCCCCAAAUACAGCAUGUCCACAAUGCCCAACCUGUUCUUUCUGCAAUACUAUUUCCCCUAAAUUUGCC